GAUGAACGCUGGCGGCGUGCCUAAUACAUGCAAGUCGAGCGAACGGACGAGAAGCUUGCUUCUCUGAUGUUAGCGGCGGACGGGUGAGUAACACGUGGAUAACCUACCUAUAAGACUGGGAUAACUUCGGGAAACCGGAGCUAAUACCGGAUAAUAUUUUGAACCGCAUGGUUCAAAAGUGAAAGACGGUCUUGCUGUCACUUAUAGAUGGAUCCGCGCUGCAUUAGCUAGCUGGUAAGGUAACGGCUUACCAAGGCAACGAUGCAUAGCCGACCUGAUAGGGUGAUCGGCCACACUGGAACUGAGACACGGUCCAGACUCCUACGGGAGGCAGCAGUAGGGAAUCUUCCGCAAUGGGCGAAAGCCUGACGGAGCAACGCCGCGUGAGUGAUGAAGGUCUUCGGAUCGUAAAACUCUGUUAUUGGGGAAGAACAUAUGUGUAAGUAACUGUGCACAUCUUGACGGUACCUAAUCAGAAAGCCACGGCUAACUACGUG
Molecule: ribosomal RNA, 497 nt
Filed under: uncultured bacterium
Lineage: Bacteria
Description: partial 16S ribosomal RNA
Rfam family: Bacterial small subunit ribosomal RNA
Source: RNAcentral